This 253-nucleotide ribosomal RNA is filed under the name uncultured bacterium. RNAcentral's name for it is "partial 16S ribosomal RNA". It matches the Rfam family "Bacterial small subunit ribosomal RNA", at positions 524 to 776 of the family's 1533-position model. The record is from RNAcentral.
UACGGAGGGUGCGAGCGUUAUCCGGAAUUACUGGGUUUAAAGGGUGCGUAGGCGGCUAUGUAAGUCAGGAGUGAAAGUUUGCGGCUCAACCGUAAAAUUGCUUUUGAUACUGCAUGGCUGGAAUCAGGAUGAGGUCAGCGGAAUGUGGCAUGUAGCGGUGAAAUGCAUAGAUAUGCCAUAGAACACCAAUUGCGAAGGCAGCUGGCUAGACCUGGAUUGACGCUGAGGCACGAAAGCGUGGGGAGCGAACAGG